CCUACGGGAGACAGCAGUGAGGAAUAUUGGUCAAUGGACGAGAGUCUGAACCAGCCAAGUAGCGUGAAGGAUGACUGCCCUAUGGGUUGUAAACUUCUUUUAUAAAGGAAUAAAACGAGGCACGUGUGCCUUUUUGCAUGUACUUUAUGAAUAAGGAUCGGCUAACUCCGUGCCAGCAGCCGCGGUACUACGGAGGAUCCGAGCGGUAUCCGGAUUUAUUGGGUUUAAAGGGAGCGUAGAUGGGUUGUUAAGUCAGUUGUUAAAGUUUGCGGCUCAACCGUAAAAUUGCAAUUGAUACUGGCAGUCUUGAGUACAGUUGAGGUAGGCGGAAUUCGUGGUGUAGCGGUGAAAUGCUUAGAUAGCACGAAGAACCCCGAUUGCGAAGGCAGCUUACUAAACUGUGACUGACAUUGAUGCUCGAAAGUGUGGGUAUCAAACAGGAUUAGAUACCCCUGUAGUC
This 460-nucleotide ribosomal RNA is filed under the name uncultured bacterium. RNAcentral's name for it is "partial 16S ribosomal RNA". It matches the Rfam family "Bacterial small subunit ribosomal RNA", at positions 338 to 795 of the family's 1533-position model. The record is from RNAcentral.